This 1034-nucleotide long non-coding RNA is filed under the name Gallus gallus (chicken). Lineage: Eukaryota; Metazoa; Chordata; Aves; Galliformes; Phasianidae. The record is from RNAcentral.
GGGGCUCCCAAAUAAAUACUUUUUGAAAAAAAUCCAGGAACAGAUCUACUGCUGCAAUGAUGUGAAGCCAGCACACCUCACUCCCUGUUUGGUCAGUUAAGCAGAAAUGAAGAGCAUUCCAAUGGGAAUUUCCUCGUCUGCCAUUGGAGGCAGGGAGAUACAAACACAGCCAUUUGAAAACCUUGCCAGCCAUGAGCACCCCACCACCUGCCUACUGUAAUCACACCAGCUUUGAAUGCAGGGUGAAAAAGGUGAUUGUUCAUCCAUCCAGAAAUCCCACCCAAAAGCAUGAAUAAAUCAGGUUCUUACCUCUUGUGACACCAGAUGGGUGACUUGCAGCCUGGCAGCUGGUCAAUGCUGUAAAACAGAAAUGGCAAGUCCCUACUUGCAGCUGCACAGAAUUCCAGAGUGAAAAUGUGCAGGUGUCUUGAAAGCAGAUUAAAAACUCGAGCUGAGGAAUUGAGCCUCCUCUUGGAAAUGAGCACUGGAGGCAGAGGAAUGCUGUAACACAGAAAGACUCCUGCACGGCUGCAGAUCCCAUCCACUUACCUUGAAGCUUUCCGUGGAGACAGGGCAGUCUUGCUGCAGGGACAUUUUAUACGAUCUCAUCUGCAGAUGCUACAGAUGCCUACUCUUUCUUCGGUCAAAAAAUUUUUGGCAAGCCUUCUUUGGCAAAGCAUUGUCUGGCAAACUGAACUAAGGGCAUAAUUGUCAUUUGACAUGACUAGAUAUAAUUAGAAAAUUUUGAUGUCUUACCGACUAUAUGAAUACAUCUCCUAUAAAUAAUUUGACAAGGGUGUUAAGGAGGGAAUCUGGACUAGUCAAGGCACUUAGAGAACUUGGAUGCAGGACUUAUGGAUUCUAUUGCUGGCUUUCCCACCAACUCACUGUAUGACCCAGAGUGGAUCGCUUGGUAUGUGUGUGCUGCAGCUACCCCAGCUGUACAAUGGGGAUGACAACAUUUAUCUUCUCUAUGUCAUGAUGUGAAAUUUAUAAGAAAUAAUUUAGAUCAAUACAUUAAACAAGCCACUAAA